AAAAACCUGAAGCAAAACGAAAAUUAACUCACUCUGCUGCUGUAAAAGUAUCGAGUGUGGAAGCUACGCACACCUUACGCUGAUCGGUAAUCGUGAUCGCUAAACACGCUCAUCGAGAGCCAGUCUCUGCAAUAACUUGAUUCGUGCAUGUCCUGUUCGACCGCUCCGAUUUGCAAUGAACCCUCCCGAUCAUUUCGAAAUACUGACAGUGUGCGCGUAAUCGCAUCUGCAAGCAGGCCCGGGGGUGAUGUGAAGUCCUUGGCUCACGACUUCGAGGAUGUCAUAUUUAAGAAAGCGACGACUUGCAAGUUCUGCAACACCAGGAUCUGGCUCAACAAGGGAAUGCGUUGCAAGGUCUGCAGAAUGAUCAUCCACAGCAAGUGCCACGUCAAGGCCAUGCAGCUGACCUUAUGCAAGCAAAAAAUGUGGCCAGAGGAAGAGGCAGAGCCCGUCGGAGGUGAGCGGCUGUCAUUAAUGUUGAAAUCUUUUACGAAGGGAGAUUGCGCAUAUAUAACGUUUUUCCCCUGAUUCCAGGCGCUCCUGAAUCUAGCACAAAGGUGAGAAAACGUCAUUAUUUAGUUUGUUCUGGUUUAUGUUUUCUUUUUAUUUAUUUCUUCAGCUUGUAUAUGCCCAGUCACUGCUUUUCAUGAGCUUGUCCCAUAUCGCCCCUAACUGUCACCGACUUGUAUUUCAGCUUAUUAUCAUGGAAAUUACCAGAGGUGCGGUCUUUCACCAUAAUUCUGGGCCGAGUUUGUGCUGUAUUUAUAAUUUAGAGCCCUUUUGGAUGCGUGAAAGCUGCGUUUUGCGGGAAGGGUUUCUCUCAGUGCGCCCCCUUCCUCUCCCCUCCCCCUCCCCAGAAAGAAAUCAAACCUUAUUUUCUAUUUUAUGCGUCCUCAACUGUAGUUAUCGCGACAAUUUAUUCUUGCCUUUCAAAGCAAGAAGUGCUUUUGCGCUUUUUCCCUGUCUCCCGCUAAUUUCUUGCAAAAAUCUGUGACUGUUUCAAUUUGGUCACCAUCAACUUUCUGUACAAUAAAAACCUGUAAUAGAAUUUAUCACCAGAAAAUUGGGAAGGGCAGCACAACGAGCGAUGGAACGAAAAAUGAUAGAAGUAGCGAUGUACGUAUAAGGUACAGCAAAAGAGUUGUGCGGAUUAGAGCGCAGACUGUAGUAGCCGAUAUUGUAUAAUUGUAAUAAGAAGCGGAGUUGAGCGAGUCACGUAAUGCGUAGAACAUAACCAUUGGUCUAUUAGAGUUGCAGAAUGGGUACUAAGAGAAGGGAAACAUACAGUUGGCGACGGCAGAAGAUUUAGGUGCUGUGAUGAAACUAGGAAGGAAGGAAGGAAAAAGUGGAAAAGGAAAGACAGGGAGGUUAACCAGUUUAGCUCAACCGGUUUGCUACCCUACACAUCGGAGCG
RNAcentral lists this long non-coding RNA (1414 nucleotides) under Dermacentor andersoni. RNAcentral describes it as "uncharacterized LOC126536124". The record is from RNAcentral. Lineage: Eukaryota; Metazoa; Arthropoda; Arachnida; Ixodida; Ixodidae.